GAUGAACGCUGGCGGCGUGCCUAAUACAUGCAAGUCGAGCGAACAGACGAGGAGCUUGCUCCUCUGACGUUAGCGGCGGACGGGUGAGUAACACGUGGAUAACCUACCUAUAAGACUGGGAUAACUUCGGGAAACCGGAGCUAAUACCGGAUAAUAUAUUGAACCGCAUGGUUCAAUAGUGAAAGACGGUUUUGCUGUCACUUAUAGAUGGAUCCGCGCCGCAUUAGCUAGUUGGUAAGGUAACGGCUUACCAAGGCAACGAUGCGUAGCCGACCUGAGAGGGUGAUCGGCCACACUGGAACUGAGACACGGUCCAGACUCCUACGGGAGGCAGCAGUAGGGAAUCUUCCGCAAUGGGCGAAAGCCUGACGGAGCAACGCCGCGUGAGUGAUGAAGGUCCUCGGAUCGUAAAACUCUGUUAUUAGGGAAGAACAAAUGUGUAAGUAACUAUGCACGUCUUGACGGUACCUAAGCAGAAAGCCACGGCUAACUACGU
This 496-nucleotide ribosomal RNA is filed under the name uncultured bacterium. RNAcentral describes it as "partial 16S ribosomal RNA". It matches the Rfam family "Bacterial small subunit ribosomal RNA", at positions 28 to 506 of the family's 1533-position model. The record is from RNAcentral.